GGUGGGAGGGUGGUACAUUAAUUAAUGGCUCCGUUAAUUAAUGUCAUGUUGCGUGUUGCUUUCUCAGUGUGUGUAUGGUCCAUGCCCAAUGCUGGUGGCAGGGUGGGUGUCCAUGAUGUGUGCCCAGCCUGGAUGUCAGCUGUGUCCUGUGGGGGCGUGUGUGUAACUGUAGUGUAGUCAGGUGCUCAACGGAGAAUACAAACGAAAAAAGAAACAAACGUAUACAGAAAAAUAAAUAUAUAUUUUAAGUUUAAAAAAACAAACGGAACCAGACAAAACAAUUCCCAUCAGGUAGUUGUCCACCCCCCCAGCUGGGUUCAAUCCUCUCAUCACACACCUGACCUAGCUGUCCCCUCACCAUGGGCUGGGGGACUUGGGGGCCAUUUCCUUUGCCCCGUUUUUUGUUUUGUUUUUUUUUUGUUGUUGUUUUGUUUUGUUUUGGUUGUUAUUCUAUUUUGUACAGACAAGUUGGGAAAACAACAGCGACAAAAAAAAAGUCGAGAAACUUUGUAAAAUAUUGUGUGUGUGAUUCCUUGUAAAAUAUUUUCAAAUGGUUUAUUACAGAAGAUCAGUUAUUAAAUAAUGUUCAUAUUUUCACUUCAAA
This 604-nucleotide long non-coding RNA is filed under the name Rattus norvegicus (Norway rat). RNAcentral's name for it is "long non-coding RNA NONRATT028020". Lineage: Eukaryota; Metazoa; Chordata; Mammalia; Rodentia; Muridae. The record is from RNAcentral.